RNAcentral lists this ribosomal RNA (253 nucleotides) under uncultured bacterium. Its description in RNAcentral is "partial 16S ribosomal RNA". It matches the Rfam family "Bacterial small subunit ribosomal RNA", at positions 524 to 776 of the family's 1533-position model. The record is from RNAcentral.
UACGUAGGGGGCAAGCGUUGUCCGGAAUCAUUGGGCGUAAAGAGCGUGUAGGCGGUCCGGUAAGUCGGCUGUGAAAGUCCAGGGCUCAACCCUGGGAUGCCGGUCGAUACUGCCGGACUAGAGUUCGGAAGAGGCGAGUGGAAUUCCCGGUGUAGCGGUGAAAUGCGCAGAUAUCGGGAGGAACACCUAUGGCGAAGGCAGCUCGCUGGGACGUUACUGACUCUGAGACGCGAAAGCGUGGGGAGCAAACAGG